This is a non-coding RNA of Macaca mulatta (Rhesus monkey), 1303 nucleotides long. The record is from RefSeq and is a predicted model, not a curated record. Lineage: Eukaryota; Metazoa; Chordata; Mammalia; Primates; Cercopithecidae.
CCAUAUCUACAUAGCGACAACAAUAAUCCCACACAGUGGGUGUCACAGAAGUAGGGUUGUUGUGUGUAAAUCAACUAACACAGUCCUGGCACUCAGGCAGCCCUUAAUAGACGGUAUGAAAAGGGUGUCUUUUCCUUCUGCCUCACCACUCUCAAUAGUACAAAUAAAAGCCCCCACAAGAUUAAAGAAGAAAGUUAAAGCAAGAAUCCUCAUGACAAGGGGUGGCUACUCUGGCAUCUUAAAGUCUGAGGUUGCUGUUUUCCAGGGGCUGAUGUGGUAAGCUGAUCUCAGAUAUAAGCUUGGUGUGAUUAUAAAAUCUUCCUAGAAGGUUUUCAGAAUGGCAAGGAAAAAACAAGCACUUAAGAACUAAGAGCCUCAGGAAAAUAAGAAGAUCCCACAAGAGGAUAAAAGCUAUGACCCUAGCCAACAUGUAGAGCUGGUUUUGUGGACUCUGCCUGUGUGCCUGUGAGAAGGGAGAGCAACAGAGGGAGGGGGAGUUGGAGCUGGUUGAAGAAGGAAGGUGCAAUUUCUGAAGUUUGUUCAGAGUCCCAGAGGCAGGAUGGCUAAGGGCCUUCUGGGGUCCUCCUACUGCUGUUGCUGUACUCAGCCUUGCCUGGGACAUGUGUACAUCCCCAAAGAACUGCUGUGCCAUCGUGAACCAACAGAGAAGAGAGGGGAAGAGAACACCUCCCAGGAAGGGCAGACCUGCCUGACUCGGAUCUCAGUUUCUCCGUGAAAAUAUGCAGUGCCUAAAAUUUACACUGAUCAAUUUGUUCACGAGAAAGGACAUUUCUAAAAGAGCCAGGAGAUUGCCCCCAGAACCAAGAGGAGUACUGGAGAGCAGAAGAUGAAGAAAAACCUUUAAACAGCAGAGCAGUGAAGUGGAGGGAGAGGCGGCCCCUCUCCUUUGCCAGAGACUCCCACUCCCAGAUGCAGGCCAGAGCGAUCCCUCAUAAUUUAAGCUGACACCCCUCAGCGGAGAUGAAAGGAACACCACUCGCUGCUCUCCAACAACAAAUGUCAGCAUCCCUGGAGGCCAUUUAGACACAAACGCAGCAUAAAUCUGACUCCUAGUGGGGAAGUCCAGAGAUUAAGUCUCCACGCACAGCCUACCAGAGUGAAAUGAAUUUGCUUGGCACAAAGUUUGAACAUGUUUCUCAGGGCCUUUCUUUCCCCUUUCUUUAAAAAAAAAAAAUCUGGAAUGGUUCAGGGCUGUUUUUUCCCCCUUGCUGUUCCUCCCACUCGUUUAUGACAUAAGCAAUGGCAGAUGAAAGACCCAGCCAUGGUUUAUGGCUCAGAGACA